AGAAGGAAGUGUUGGCUUUGUGCUGUCAUGGUGGUUGAUAUGCUAAAUACUUCCAUUACAUCCACUGCAAUAUUUGUUGGACUGUGGUGUUUUCAAGGGUGCUGGCUGACAAUAUUAAUGGGUGUUUAUGUUAUUUGGGAGAUCUUGUUUUACCUGACCUCAUUUAGCUGUGACCAACUGGAAAAAUGCCAGAUAAGAAGAAACAUAAGAGCAGGACUUCAGAAUCGAGGAAGGAAAAUACACCGGUGGAUCAUUUUCUUUGUCUACUCUCUUCUUAAUAUUUUCUUUACAAUUGCACUUAUAACAGGAGUCUGUCUGACCAGAAUGGUGAAGUGUCUUUAGACUUUGGUUGUGAGUUAGAUUUAAAAGUCCUAUGUUAUCACACAAUUUGUUAUCUACUGUAUCUAUUUGAUACAUAUUGACUGAUUUAUUCCACAAGUUUUUUAUGUAUUUGUCUUUAGGUCUCUUAGCUGUUAUAUAACAAUGAUGCGGUUGUUAAAAGCUCUUUGAAACUGUAGAUACAGUACAUGUUUUUCAUGACUCCCUUAUCACUGAAUUCACAGGAAUUGUUUACAAUACAGCGUCAGGGCUUAUGGACAACAGUGAAUGUCUGUCUCAUUUCAAAUGUCUUGACUGGCUUACAUGAAGUGAAGUGAGGUGAAGCAUGCUAAGCCAUACUUGGAAUUUAACCAAGUCAUACAAAACCACACAAAAGCAAAAUAAACUUUUCACCUGUUGAAUUGCCAAGCUUAGAUUUAAAGAGUCAAACCUAAACAAAUCAAUGCAACACUUUAAUCAUUAAUGCAUCUGGAUGAAAUGCUAUACUUUUUAAACUAAUUUAGGGCUUAAAAUGUUUCUGUCAGAUUCAAAAGUAUUACUGGGAACAACGCACAACCGUAUUUACAUAAAUAAUCUAAGACAUUUAAUAAAUAAUGAAUGCUUAACAACAAACUUAUGUCUUUAUUUAACUAUCAUUUGGGAGCCUGAUUGCUGGCAGUUCAAGUUCCACAACUGCCCACCG
Long non-coding RNA from Paramisgurnus dabryanus, 1021 nucleotides. RefSeq lists it as uncharacterized. The record is from RefSeq and is a predicted model, not a curated record. Lineage: Eukaryota; Metazoa; Chordata; Actinopteri; Cypriniformes; Cobitidae.